GCUAAUUCAAUCACAGACUUGAUCUCAUCAUAAAUGAGAAUAAGAGAACACUUCUCAACCUAGCACAUGCCCAACGAUAUUUCAUCGAAGAAGAUGAGAAACGUUUAGGGAAAGGAUGCACGUAACUCAGCCUACUCCUCGGUGUCUUUACCAUUGUCCUUUGGCAAAUCCUGAGCUGUAUCUUCUUCAUUGUUAUCAGGCUUGACAUCUUCAGCCUCUUUCGUUUCUUCGGAGGCAUCCUGAAGCUGUAGGUAGUUCCACAAACAAAAAUCAGAAUUUCUUUGCAAUUUAAAGUGAAACAACUGCUCUCUCCGUCCA
RNAcentral lists this unclassified non-coding RNA (318 nucleotides) under Hevea brasiliensis (rubber tree). Lineage: Eukaryota; Viridiplantae; Streptophyta; Magnoliopsida; Malpighiales; Euphorbiaceae. The record is from RNAcentral.